CUGAGCUCCGGUCCCGCUCAAUUCACAGAAAGCGUCACACAUUUCUCCUUGCCCUGCUCCACUUUUUUACCGAAGAUUGAUGAUAUGCUUCAGAAUUUAAAGCAGGAGGUGGCCAACCAAGAUUCCAAGAACCGGAUGCCCCUCUCAGAGGUAUAACAAGUAGGAUACAUGAAGCGAAGUGGAGCUGAAAUGGGAUACAAGUAUUCGUUGAAGCAGAACUGUCUUGAUAUAAAAAACUUGCCACUUUGAGAAUGGAAGCCUUUAUAGCCUUCGAAAUUUUUUGAAUAAUCUAUAAAGACACACUGCACACUUCUUUGAUCUAGUUUGCUUUGAUGUGAGGGAGAAAACCAAGGAAAGCAUUGACAUCCAUAUGCCUGAAUAUGUUUAUAAUCAGGUGGAUAUUUGUGUAGGACUUGAGAGGUUAUUAGUUUAGAGUGUUUUAAGAGGAGAUACAGUUGAUUAAGUGGACAAAUGUUAGUUUGGUGUCUGGCAAGGUAUUUAGUGGCAAGUUAGAUGCAACACAUAGGGUUUUCACAGUUUCUAGGAUAUUUUGAUAUUUUUUUCUGCUAUGUCUUUUUUUUUUUGGGUGUGUAAUGGUAAAAGAAAUAAUAAAUAAUGCCAUGUGCAGCCACAACUUAUCAAAUUGUUAGCUCCUGAAUUCCC
Long non-coding RNA from Phalaenopsis equestris, 663 nucleotides. RefSeq lists it as uncharacterized. NCBI's taxonomy places the organism in Eukaryota, Viridiplantae, Streptophyta, Magnoliopsida, Asparagales, Orchidaceae. The record is from RefSeq and is a predicted model, not a curated record. The transcript is spliced from 3 exons.